Molecule: unclassified non-coding RNA, 23 nt
Filed under: Mus musculus (house mouse)
Lineage: Eukaryota; Metazoa; Chordata; Mammalia; Rodentia; Muridae
Description: oocyte_clustered_small_RNA10709
Source: RNAcentral
UGUGGUCUCAGCCCUCACUGCAG